Molecule: long non-coding RNA, 2148 nt
Organism: Bombus huntii
Lineage: Eukaryota; Metazoa; Arthropoda; Insecta; Hymenoptera; Apidae
Exons: 2
Source: RefSeq, a predicted model, not a curated record
UGAGAUAUUCUCAGACGAUGCGCAAUGAGUUCAAUAGACGAUUUGAAAUAGUACACCAACAAAUUUUUAUUGUUAUUUUGGUACAGAAUUUUAGAUAUUGUUUUCAAUAUCAAAUAAUAUUCUAUUUACAUGUACAGGUGUAUAUUUCUAAAAUUCUUUGUGCCUACCUAUUUUUGCACAUUCGAAUUAAUCAACGUACUAGUUGAUGUAUAAAACCCACGAAGCGUUUGCUAAUUGUUACGUUGGACAUGAAUCGCCGAAAUAAAUUCCUCUUCCGCUACGCGGAACUCACGAUCCAGAGACCGAGAGAAACGAUCGAUCAAUGAAAUAUGCACCUUUUAAAACGCCUGAACCUAACUAUACGCGUGCCACGUGAAUACGUACCAUCGAUACAUGCCCCGAUGCACUUGUACGCUCAUAUCCACGAGCGACGACACAGCACCACGUAACUUUGACGCAUUAACCUGGCUCCUGGCCAUGGCGCGUCAUAAAUACGGGUUAACAGCGAUCACCAGUAGUGCGGUCGGCGACAAUAACGGUCGAGAUACUCGAACAACUCGCCCGAUAGGAUGUUACGUGAACUUUGCGUAGUUCUUCGAGAAUCGAACGCCAAACGAGUGUGAAGGAUCGUUUUUGUGGAAGCAAAUGCAAUUUUGAUACUAGCGGCAGUAGCAGAGCGAACGUGUUGAAUAUUUAAUGGAUAUUAGCAACUUUAGCGUAAGACAAAUGUUUUCAAUACUAUUCGGUACCUAUUGAGUUUGUUAGUAAUAAGGCGGCCCCAAAGUUCAUUGUAAGGCAGCGUGAAAUUCUGUUUCCGCGAGAGAGCUGUUAACCGUGGCUCAACUUCUUCGUCCAAAGUUACAUCAAUGAAAUAGUCGCGCGGUGGUUGCUCGGGACCGAUGCCAACAGCUAAUUUCCAUGCGAGCAAAAGUUAUACAACGAAACUGUAACGUUCCUCGAAACUUCGAUGGCCAACCCGAUUUACGCGGAACUCGCUUGCGUUAGUCGAGGCCAGGAGGUGACGUAACGUUUUGGCGAGGAAUUAAAAUUUACAAAAUUUAAGAUCGUACCAGAAACUUGCGAACGGUUUCAACGAAAUGGCGUCAACAACCGCUUCGAUCGCCGCGGAGAAUAAAUUCAGAGAACGAAAAUUAUAUCGUCAGCUUGUUCAAUUUAGUGAAAUCGAAGUUUAGACUCGUUUCGCGCAAAAACAAUUAUUUUUACCACGACUGAAACAAGUAGGAAAUUUGUUUCGCCUCCGACCAAUACCGGCCAGGUAAUCUUAAGAAAAAUUUCCUCUACUUCGUAUGCAAUUGACAACGCAUCGGCAACCUUGCAUUAAUACAAGGAUAUUCGUAAUUGGAAGUUACGGCGAAAGGAAAUUUGCUUGGUCUCUCGCUCCAAAAACUUGAUCCACGAAUGAUUCCGCGGUUAACUGAAAGCAAUUUGCUUGUACCUACAUAGAUUGUACGACCGUAGAAGACUCCUUCGCCAGAGCGAAACCAGAGAAAAAGAUAUGCCGGUAAUGAGCACUUUGUUUCCACCCAGUGUUCGACAUUCGCGGAUGCAGAAAGGUAAAUUCGCUUAGGUAAAAAGGUAAAAUGAUACGGAAUUAAGGGGAAAUUAUGCGGUUUGCGAGCAAAUACUCGAAGAAUGAGAAUGCUCGAUAACUUAAUAAUACUAAAGACAAAUAAAAAGAAAAGAAGAAAAAAAGUACAAAGGUAGAAAAUUGUAGGAACAUAGGGAUUGAGCGUUGAAGGCGAUUCAUCGAAAAGGAGAGACACGAGUUCCUAUUCGUUGCAUGUCGAACGCGUGCGAGCGGAAACACGCUGGUCUGUUCAUUUGCUUCUACAAACAGCAGCUGCAAGUAGAAUCGCGGCCGCAUAUGCACGUAUUUGAAUAAUUGAGCAACAGCCUUACGCAAAUCAGUCGAAUGUAAAUGUGUUCUAACUAGUAUAGGAAUGAGAAACAUCGAUACCAGGGAUUUCCGAUUAUCUAAACUAGUCUUUAUACCAGUAGAAAGACAGACUAACGGGCAAAGAAUAUUUUUUAUUCUUAUUAUUAGAAUGCUAUUCUUUCUUUUUUUUUUUUUUCUUGCUUUUUAUUUUCUGAGCAAGAAAAAAAAAAAAAAAAAAAAAAUAAAGAAAA